ACGGGUGAGUAAUGCAUCGGGACCUACCCAGACGUGGGGGAUAACCUCGGGAAACCGGGACUAAUACCGCAUACGUCCUACGGGAGAAAGCGGGGGACCUUCGGGCCUCGCGCGGCUGGACGGACCGAUGUGCGAUUAGCUAGUUGGUAGGGUAAUGGCCUACCAAGGCGACGAUCGCUAGCUGGUCUGAGAGGAUGAUCAGCCACACUGGGACUGAGACACGGCCCAGACUCCUACGGGAGGCAGCAGUGGGGAAUAUUGGACAAUGGGCGCAAGCCUGAUCCAGCAAUGCCGCGUGUGUGAAGAAGGCCUUCGGGUUGUAAAGCACUUUUAUCAGGAACGAAAUACCACGGGUUAAUAACCUAUGGGGCUGACGGUACCUGAGGAAUAAGCACCGGCUAACUUCGUGCCAGCAGCCGCGGUAAUACGAAGGGUGCAAGCGUUAAUCGGAAUUACUGGGCGUAAAGGGUGCGUAGGCGGUUCGUUAAGUCUGUCGUGAAAUCCCCGGGCUCAACCUGGGAAUGGCGAUGGAUACUGGCGAGCUAGGGUGUGUCAGAGGAUGGUGGAAUUCCCGGUGU
RNAcentral lists this ribosomal RNA (578 nucleotides) under uncultured Rhodanobacter sp. RNAcentral describes it as "bacterial SSU rRNA". It matches the Rfam family "Bacterial small subunit ribosomal RNA", at positions 102 to 676 of the family's 1533-position model. The record is from RNAcentral. Lineage: Bacteria; Pseudomonadati; Pseudomonadota; Gammaproteobacteria; Lysobacterales; Rhodanobacteraceae.